GAUGAAGAACGUAGCGAAAUGCGAUACGUAAUGUGAAUUGCAGAAUUCAGUGAAUCAUCGAAUCUUUGAACGCACAUUGCGCCCCCUGGUAUUCCGGGGGGCAUGCCUGUCCGAGCGUCAUUACAACCCUCAAGCUCAGCUUGGUGUUGGGCCCCGCCGCCCCGGCGGGCCCUAAAGUCAGUGGCGGUGCCGUCCGGCUCCGAGCGUAGUAAUUCUUCUCGCUCUGGAGGUCCGGUCGUGUGCUCGCCAGCAACCCCCAAUUUUUUUCAGGUUGACCUCGGAUCAGGUAGGGAUACCCGCUGAGCUUAAGCAUAUCAAUAAGCGGAGGA
This 329-nucleotide unclassified non-coding RNA is filed under the name soil metagenome. Its description in RNAcentral is "partial contains 5.8S ribosomal RNA, internal transcribed spacer 2, and large subunit ribosomal RNA". The stretch from base 1 to 120 matches the Rfam family "5.8S ribosomal RNA", at positions 35 to 154 of the family's 154-position model. The record is from RNAcentral.